Cyprinus carpio (common carp) is the source of this 979-nucleotide long non-coding RNA. The record is from Ensembl. Lineage: Eukaryota; Metazoa; Chordata; Actinopteri; Cypriniformes; Cyprinidae.
GAGGUCUCUUCCAAUGGGAAGCCAAAGAGAGGGGCUUAAAAAAGAAAGUAAAUCACGAGAGGAAGAAGAAGAGAACGGGGCGUCGAAACAAAACCGUGUGCGUCAUCUCUUCGGACUUCAAUCUUAGAAACAGCAGGACAUUUAUUCAUCUUUGUGCUAUCUGUCAUUAGUGGUUGUUCCGUUUGCUACGACGAUAUCUGAUAUUUUUGAGCAGAUUGCAGAGAGAAUCGUUUGUCCAGCUCAAGUUCAGAGAGGAGUGACUCGUUUGGACUGGUCACCACUGACCACGGCCUGCAGAGGACUGGAUUCAUGAGCAAGAGACUCUUCAGGACCUGGGACUACUGUCGAGAUUUACACACGAACACACGAGGAUUUAAUAUCGAAAGUGGUUUUCUCCGUUAUCUCAUACAUGACGUAAGCGUGCUCCGGCCCGAGAAGUUUGUGCAAGUGUGAGUGCAGGCCAGCGGGGGAGUUGGGGAGGAGGGAGUGGGGAGGGGAGAUAAUCGUUCCCAGGCUCGGUUCAGACAACCGUGCCUAGUGUGAGCACAUCCUAAGAGAGAAAAACACAGUCACUGCUGUGGACUGACUGUUGAGACAGAGGUGGAUUUGAGAAAAUUAACUGAGAUGAUUCAUAACUGACUCUGUGAUCAACAUCUGGAUCUGCUUUUAGAUGAAACCAUGGCCUCCAGAAUGAAUCUCUCUGAAGAACAUCACACACAGAUAAAGACAGUCAAGAGUCUGUGGCAGAAUGAAUCUCCUGAACCCAGCUGUGUGUCCAUGAAGAGUGACCGGUCAAUGGAUCCUCCAAUUAAGUUCAGCUCGGGAGACACAUCUGCUCAUCUGAGUCAAAAACAUAAAGGACUGCAAUCACAUACAGCAAAGAAGAACUUAGACUCCAUUUUUAAGGUUGGUUUUGUGUGUGUGUGUGUGUGUGUGUGUGUGUGUGUGUGUGUGUGUGUGUGUGUGUGUGUGUGUGUGU